AGUUUCUGAUUUGUUGGGAGACUGAAUAAGUCCUUGCAUUGUGUUGACAUCAGCUUCUUCUCUUUGUUCAUGUGAGAUGGGAGUUAAAAUGACUACCGGUAUAA
Molecule: small nucleolar RNA, 104 nt
Filed under: Oryza meridionalis
Lineage: Eukaryota; Viridiplantae; Streptophyta; Magnoliopsida; Poales; Poaceae
Description: Small nucleolar RNA snoR97
Rfam family: Small nucleolar RNA snoR97
Source: Rfam by way of RNAcentral